RNAcentral lists this ribosomal RNA (464 nucleotides) under uncultured bacterium. Its description in RNAcentral is "partial 16S ribosomal RNA". It matches the Rfam family "Bacterial small subunit ribosomal RNA", at positions 339 to 795 of the family's 1533-position model. The record is from RNAcentral.
CUACGGGCGGCAGCAGCUAAGAAUCUUCCGCAAUGGACGAAAGUCUGACGGAGCGACGCCGCGUGAAUGAUGAAGGCCGAAAGGUUGUAAAGUUCUUUUCUUGUGGAGGAAUAAUGUUAGUAGGGAAUGACUAACAGAUGACGUUAAGCAAGGAAUAAGCCCCGGCUAAUUACGUGCCAGCAGCCGCGGUAACACGUAAGGGGCAAGCGUUGUUCGGAUUCAUUGGGCGUAAAGGGCGUGUAGGCGGAAUGACAAGUCUGGUGUGAAAUAUCCCGGCUCAACUGGGAAAACGCAUUGGAAACUGUCAAUCUAGAGUAUAGGAAGGGAAGCUAGAAUUCCAGGUGUAGGGGUGAUAUCUGUAGAUAUCUGGAAGAAUACCGGUGGCGAAGGCGAGCUUCUGGCCAUAUACUGACGCUGAUACGCGAAAGUGUGGGGAGCGAACAGGAUUAGAUACCCCCGUAGUC